GUUGUAUAGUCAAGUAAUUAAGUGCAUGUGGUGGAUGCUUGGCAGUCAGAGGCGAUGAAAGACGUGAUAGCCUGCGAAAAGCUCCGGGGAGGCGGCAAAUAUCCUUUGAUCCGGAGAUGUCUGAAUGGGGGAACCCACCUACUUUAAGGUAGGUAUUGCAACAUGAAUACAUAGUGUUGCAAGGCGAACGAGGGGAAGUGAAACAUCUCAGUACCCUUAGGAAAAGAAAUCAAUUG
This 236-nucleotide ribosomal RNA is filed under the name Acinetobacter baumannii. RNAcentral describes it as "partial 23S ribosomal RNA". It matches the Rfam family "Bacterial large subunit ribosomal RNA", at positions 1 to 231 of the family's 2925-position model. The record is from RNAcentral. Lineage: Bacteria; Pseudomonadati; Pseudomonadota; Gammaproteobacteria; Moraxellales; Moraxellaceae.